This 29-nucleotide small RNA is filed under the name Bombyx mori (domestic silkworm). RNAcentral describes it as "ovarian small RNA-8172". Lineage: Eukaryota; Metazoa; Arthropoda; Insecta; Lepidoptera; Bombycidae. The record is from RNAcentral.
UGACUGCGAUGAGGGCAGCGCGUUGCUCU